CGCACGGGUGAGUAACGCGUAUGCAACCUACCUAUCAGAGGGGAAGUAACCCGGCGAAAGUCGGACUAAUACCGCAUAAAACAGGGGCACCGCAUGGUGAUAUUUGUUAAAGAAAUUCGCUGAUAGAUGGGCAUGCGUUCCAUUAGGUAGUUGGUGAGGUAACGGCUCACCAAGCCGACGAUGGAUAGGGAACUGAGAGGUUGGUCCCCCACACUGGUACUGAGACACGGACCAGACUCCUACGGGAGGCAGCAGUGAGGAAUAUUGGUCAAUGGGCGGGAGCCUGAACCAGCCAAGUCGCGUGAAGGAAGAAGGAUCUAUGGUUCGUAAACUUCUUUUGCAGGGGAAUAAAGUGCAGGACGUGUCCUGUUUUGUAUGUACCCUGAGAAUAAGGAUCGGCUAACUCCGUGCCAGCAGCCGC
This 421-nucleotide ribosomal RNA is filed under the name uncultured bacterium. Its description in RNAcentral is "bacterial SSU rRNA". It matches the Rfam family "Bacterial small subunit ribosomal RNA", at positions 99 to 518 of the family's 1533-position model. The record is from RNAcentral.